UACGUAGGGGGCGAGCGUUGUCCGGAUUUAUUGGGCGUAAAGAGCGUGUAGGCGGCCAGGUAGGUCUGCUGUGAAAACUCGAGGCUCAACCUCGAGACGUCGGCGGAAACCAUCUGGCUAGAGUCCGGAAGAGGAGAGUGGAAUUCCUGGUGUAGCGGUGAAAUGCGCAGAUAUCAGGAAGAACACCCGUGGCGAAGGCGGCUCUCUGGGCCUUACCUGACGCUGAGGAGCGAAAGCGUGGGUAGCGAACAGG
Molecule: ribosomal RNA, 253 nt
Filed under: uncultured bacterium
Lineage: Bacteria
Description: partial 16S ribosomal RNA
Rfam family: Bacterial small subunit ribosomal RNA
Source: RNAcentral